UCCGUAGGUGGAUAAUUAAGUCAGAGGUGAAAUCCUGCAGCUCAACUGUAGAAUUGCCUUUGAUACUGGUUAUCUUGAGUUAUUAUGAAGUAGUUAGAAUAUGUAGUGUAGCGGUGAAAUGCAUAGAUAUUACAUAGAAUACCAAUUGCGAAGGCAGAUUACUAAUAAUCAACUGACACUGAUGGACGAAAGCGUGGGGAGCGAACAGGAUUAGAUACCCUGUAGUCC
Molecule: ribosomal RNA, 228 nt
Filed under: uncultured bacterium
Lineage: Bacteria
Description: partial 16S ribosomal RNA
Rfam family: Bacterial small subunit ribosomal RNA
Source: RNAcentral